GUAGGCCUAACACAUGCAAGUCGAACGGCAGCACAGUAAGAGCUUGCUCUUAUGGGUGGCGAGUGGCGGACGGGUGAGGAAUACAUCGGAAUCUACCUUUUCGUGGGGGAUAACGUAGGGAAACUUACGCUAAUACCGCAUACGACCUUCGGGUGAAAGCAGGGGACCUUCGGGCCUUGCGCGGAUAGAUGAGCCGAUGUCGGAUUAGCUAGUUGGCGGGGUAAAGGCCCACCAAGGCGACGAUCCGUAGCUGGUCUGAGAGGAUGAUCAGCCACACUGGAACUGAGACACGGUCCAGACUCCUACGGGAGGCAGCAGUGGGGAAUAUUGGACAAUGGGCGCAAGCCUGAUCCAGCCAUACCGCGUGGGUGAAGAAGGCCUUCGGGUUGUAAAGCCCUUUUGUUGGGAAAGAAAAGCAGUCGGCUAAUACCCGGUUGUUCUGACGGUACCCAAAGAAUAAGCACCGGCUAACUUCGUGCCAGCAGCCGCGGUAAUACGAAGGGUGCAAGCGUUACUCGGAAUUACUGGGCGUAAAGCGUGCGUAGGUGGUUGUUUAAGUCUGUUGUGAAAGCCCUGGGCUCAACCUGGGAAUUGCAGUGGAUACUGGGCGACUAGAGUGUGGUAGAGGGUAGUGGAAUUCCCGGUGUAGCAGUGAAAUGCGUAGAGAUCGGGAGGAACAUCCAUGGCGAAGGCAGCUACCUGGACCAACACUGACACUGAGGCAC
RNAcentral lists this ribosomal RNA (725 nucleotides) under Stenotrophomonas sp. F769. RNAcentral's name for it is "bacterial SSU rRNA". It matches the Rfam family "Bacterial small subunit ribosomal RNA", at positions 42 to 754 of the family's 1533-position model. The record is from RNAcentral. Lineage: Bacteria; Pseudomonadati; Pseudomonadota; Gammaproteobacteria; Lysobacterales; Lysobacteraceae.